AGAGUUUGAUUCUGGCUCGGAGCGAACGCUGGCGGCGUGUCUUAGGCAUGCAAGUCGAACGGCAGCAUGGCGGUGCUUGCACCGCUGAUGGCGAGUGGCGGACGGGUGAGUAACGCGUAGGAAUCUGCCCCUAGGUCUGGAAUAGCCAAGAGAAAUCUUGGGUAAUACCGGAUAAUAUCGAAAGAUCAAAGCUCCCUUAAAGGAGCGCCAAGGGAUGAGCCUGCGUCCUAUCAGCUUGUUGGUGAGGUAAUGGCUCACCAAGGCUAAGACGGGUAGCCGGCUUGAGAGAGUGGCCGGCCACAAGGGAACUGAGACACGGUCCCUACUCCUACGGGAGGCAGCAGCCAAGAAUAUUCCGCAAUGGGGGAAACCCUGACGGAGCGACGCCGCGUGGAGGAUGAAGGCAUUCGUGUUGUAAACUCCUUUUCUGUGGGAAGAAUAAGCCUUGGAGGAAAUGCCAAGGUGAUGACGGUACCACAGGAAUAAGCCCCGGCAAAUUACGUGCCAGCAGCCGCGGUAAUACGUGAGGGGCGAGCGUUGCUCGGAAUUACUGGGCGUAAAGGGCAUGUAGGCGGUAACGCAAGCAGAGUGUGAAAGACCAGGGCUUAACUCUGGAUGUGCGCUCUGAACUGCGUCACUAGGAUAUGGUGGAAGGCGGUGGAAUUUCCUGUGUAGCGGUGGAAUGCUUAGAUAUGGGAAGGAACACCAAAGGCGAAGGCAGCCGUCUAUGCCAAUAUCGACGCUGAGGUGCGAAAGUGUGGGGAUCAAAUAGGAUUAGAUACCCUAGUAGUCCACACUGUAAACGAUGCACACUAAGAGUCGCCCGAGAGGGUGGUUCUGCAGUUAACACGAUAAGUGUGCCGCCUGAGGACUACGGUCGCAAGACUGAAACUCAAAGAAAUUGACGGGGGCCCGCACAAGCGGUGGAGCACGUGGAUUAAUUCGAUGCUAAGCGAAGAACCUUACCAAGGCUUGACAUAUAUGUGAAUGGCGGAGAGAUUCGUCAGCCUUCGGGCACAUAUACAGGUGUUGCAUGGCUGUCGUCAGCUCGUGUCGUGAGAUGUUGGGUUAAGUCCCGCAACGAGCGCAACCCUUGUCUUCAGUUGCUACUAUUUAGUUAGAGCACUCUGGAGAGACUGCCGUCGACAAGGCGGAGGAAGGAGAGGACGACGUCAAGUCAUCAUGGCCCUUAUGCCUUGGGCUUCACACAUGCUACAAUGGCGCGUACAACGGGAAGCGAAAGCGCGAGCUGGAGCGGAUCCUUAUAAAGCGCGCCUCAAUACGGAUUGCACUCUGCAACUCGAGUGCAUGAAGCCGGAAUCGCUAGUAAUCGCGGGUCAGCAAUACCGCGGUGAAUACGUUCUCGGGCCUUGUACACACCGCCCGUCACACCACCCGAGUUGGUUUGUCCUGAAGCGGCUUACCCCAACCCGUAAGGGAGGGGGGUCGUUAGGGAGAGGCUGGUAAGGGGGGUGAAGUCGUAACAAGGUU
RNAcentral lists this ribosomal RNA (1491 nucleotides) under metagenome. Its description in RNAcentral is "bacterial SSU rRNA". It matches the Rfam family "Bacterial small subunit ribosomal RNA". The record is from RNAcentral.